RNAcentral lists this ribosomal RNA (555 nucleotides) under Sordariomycetes sp. RNAcentral's name for it is "eukaryotic LSU rRNA". The stretch from base 241 to 394 matches the Rfam family "5.8S ribosomal RNA". The record is from RNAcentral. Lineage: Eukaryota; Fungi; Ascomycota; Sordariomycetes.
CAGCGGAGGGAUCAUUAGCGAGUUAAUUACAAACUCCAAACCCAUGUGAACAUACCUACUGUUGCCUCGGCAGGCCGUGCUGCGCGGCUGGAUCGCCCACCCCCCGCGUGGGUAGCUACCCUGGAGUAGCUACCCUGUAGCGGGAGCGGCCCGCCCCGCGGCGCGCCAACAGGCCUGCCGAAGGACCCCUAAACUCUGUUUUGCACCUGUAUCUCUGAGUUUAUUAUACAAAUAAGUUAAAACUUUCAACAACGGAUCUCUUGGUUCUGGCAUCGAUGAAGAACGCAGCGAAAUGCGAUAAGUAAUGUGAAUUGCAGAAUUCAGUGAAUCAUCGAAUCUUUGAACGCACAUUGCGCCUAAUAGUAUUCUGUUAGGCAUGCCUGUUCGAGCGUCAUUUCAACCCCCAAGCCCUAUUUGCUUGACGUUGGGAGUUUACGGAGACGUAAUUCCUCAAAUAUAGUGGCGGAGCUAGGUCGUGCUCUAAGCGUAGUAACCAAAUUCUCGCUUCUGAAGCCGGCCCGGGUCCUGCCGUAAAACCCCCUAUAUUUUUCUGGU